This 500-nucleotide ribosomal RNA is filed under the name uncultured Salmonella sp. RNAcentral's name for it is "bacterial SSU rRNA". It matches the Rfam family "Bacterial small subunit ribosomal RNA", at positions 37 to 526 of the family's 1533-position model. Lineage: Bacteria; Pseudomonadati; Pseudomonadota; Gammaproteobacteria; Enterobacterales; Enterobacteriaceae. The record is from RNAcentral.
UGGCGGCAGGCCUAACACAUGCAAGUCGAACGGUAACAGGAAGCAGCUUGCUGCUUCGCUGACGAGUGGCGGACGGGUGAGUAAUGUCUGGGAAACUGCCUGAUGGAGGGGGAUAACUACUGGAAACGGUNGCUAAUACCGCAUAACGUCGCAAGACCAAAGAGGGGGACCUUCGGGCCUCUUGCCAUCAGAUGUGCCCAGAUGGGAUUAGCUNGUUGGUGNGGUAACGGCUCACCAAGGCGACGAUCCCUAGCUGGUCUGAGAGGAUGACCAGCCACACUGGAACUGAGACACGGUCCAGACUCCUACGGGAGGCAGCAGUGGGGAAUAUUGCACAAUGGGCGCAAGCCUGAUGCAGCCAUGCCGCGUGUAUGAAGAAGGCCUUCGGGUUGUAAAGUACUUUCAGCGGGGAGGAAGGUGUUGUGGUUAAUAACCGCAGCAAUUGACGUUACCCGCAGAAGAAGCACCGGCUAACUCCGUGCCAGCAGCCGCGGUAAUAC